CUAAAACCGAAACUAACCAAAAUUAACUCGACGAAAUCUAAACAGUGCAUUUAGACGACGUCUGCCAGUCGGUCCUUACAUCGGCUUCUAGUCUACGGGGUCUAAAUUCCCAGAUUUACAAGACGGAAAAAAAAGAAAAAGAAUGGCUAAAAGGGCUUACAGAAGGAGACAUCAAGUAAACACAUUAAAAAAUCAGACUGGCUUAACUAUUAAAAGUAACGUCACGAAACAUUAUGGUAAAUGAGAGACAUCACGCAAGAGAAACGAGUGUCUUUUUUACCGCAUAUAUUUUCGAACGAAUAAAUAUAAAGAUAAAAAUCGGUAAUUAA
Molecule: long non-coding RNA, 329 nt
Organism: Centruroides sculpturatus (bark scorpion)
Lineage: Eukaryota; Metazoa; Arthropoda; Arachnida; Scorpiones; Buthidae
Exons: 2
Source: RefSeq, a predicted model, not a curated record